GACGAACGCUGGCGGCGCGCCUAACACAUGCAAGUCGAACGAGCGAGAGAGAGCUUGCUUUCUCGAGCGAGUGGCGAACGGGUGAGUAACGCGUGAGGAACCUGCCUCAAAGAGGGGGACAACAGUUGGAAACGACUGCUAAUACCGCAUAAGCCCACGGCUCGGCAUUGAGCAGGGGGAAAAGGAGCAAUCCGCUUUGAGAUGGCCUCGCGUCCGAUUAGCUAGUUGGUGAGGUAACGGGCCACCCAGGACACGAACGGUAGCCGGACUGAGAGGUUGAACGGCCACAUUGGGACUGAGACACGGCCCAGACUCCUACGGGAGGCAGCAGUGGGGAAUAUUGCAAAAUGGGGGAAACCAUGAUGCAGCGACGCCGCGUGGAGGAAGAAGGUCUGCGGAUUGUAAACUCCUGUUGUUGGGGAAGAUAAUGACGGUACCCAACAAGGAAGUGACGGCUAACUACGUG
This 466-nucleotide ribosomal RNA is filed under the name uncultured bacterium. RNAcentral describes it as "partial 16S ribosomal RNA". It matches the Rfam family "Bacterial small subunit ribosomal RNA", at positions 28 to 507 of the family's 1533-position model. The record is from RNAcentral.